UACAGAGAGUGCAAGCGUUAAUCGGAAUUACUGGGCGUAAAGAGCACGUAGGUGGAUUCUUAAGUCGAAUGUGAAAUCCCUGGGCUUAACCUAGGAACUGCAUUCGAUACUGGGAAUCUAGAGUAUGGUAGAGGGAAGUGGAAUUUCCGGUGUAGCGGUGAAAUGCGUAGAUAUCGGAAAGAACACCAGUGGCGAAGGCGGCUUCCUGGACUAAUACUGACACUGAGGUGCGAAAGCGUGGGGAGCAAACAGG
RNAcentral lists this ribosomal RNA (253 nucleotides) under uncultured Gammaproteobacteria bacterium. RNAcentral's name for it is "partial 16S ribosomal RNA". It matches the Rfam family "Bacterial small subunit ribosomal RNA", at positions 524 to 776 of the family's 1533-position model. The record is from RNAcentral. Lineage: Bacteria; Pseudomonadati; Pseudomonadota; Gammaproteobacteria.